RNAcentral lists this ribosomal RNA (506 nucleotides) under uncultured bacterium. Its description in RNAcentral is "bacterial SSU rRNA". It matches the Rfam family "Bacterial small subunit ribosomal RNA", at positions 8 to 521 of the family's 1533-position model. The record is from RNAcentral.
AGAGUUUGAUCCUGGCUCAGGACGAACGCUGGCGGCGUGCUUAACACAUGCAAGUCGAGCGGGGAUUGCGGAAGUCUUCGGACAGAAACAAUUCUAGCGGCGGACGGGUGAGUAACGCGUGAGCAAUCUGUCCCAGACAGGGGGAUAACACUUGGAAACAGGUGCUAAUACCGCAUAAGACCACGGAGUCGCAUGGCUUUGGGGUAAAAGAAAUUCGGUUUGGGGUGAGCUCGCGUCCGAUUAGCUAGUUGGUGAGGUAACGGCCCACCAAGGCGACGAUCGGUAGCCGACCUGAGAGGGUGAUCGGCCACAUUGGAACUGAGACACGGUCCAAACUCCUACGGGAGGCAGCAGUGGGGAAUAUUGGGCAAUGGGCGGAAGCCUGACCCAGCAACGCCGCGUGAGGGAAGAAGGUUUUCGGAUUGUAAACCUCUGUCCUCAAGGACGAAGGAAGUGACGGUACUUGAGGAGGAAGCCCCGGCUAACUACGUGCCAGCAGCCGCGGU